This 73-nucleotide transfer RNA is filed under the name candidate division WOR-1 bacterium RIFOXYA2_FULL_41_14. Its description in RNAcentral is "tRNA-Met". It matches the Rfam family "tRNA". From Rfam's summary of the family: Transfer RNA (tRNA) molecules are approximately 80 nucleotides in length. The record is from RNAcentral. Lineage: Bacteria; Bacillati. RNAcentral also lists the same sequence under 3 other names.
GGGCCCAUAGCUCAACGGUUAGAGCAAUCGACUCAUAAUCGAUCGGUUCUAGGUUCAACUCCUAGUGGGCCCA